This 8870-nucleotide unclassified non-coding RNA is filed under the name Portunus trituberculatus (swimming crab). Its description in RNAcentral is "uncharacterized LOC123504316, transcript variant X8". The record is from RNAcentral. Lineage: Eukaryota; Metazoa; Arthropoda; Malacostraca; Decapoda; Portunidae.
GAAAUAAGUCGCCAUCGUACGGCCUCCCGUUCAUGUGUGACUGCUCUACAUGGCGUCAGUUUGUGGGAAAAAUCUAUCCCCGACUGCUGCGGCGUUCGAGAUUUGAAGGAUACGCCGGGAGCGGGAGGAGCGGAGCGAAGCGAGAGGACUCUGUGGGAGCAGGAGAGCGUGUGUGAGUACGUGCGUCUGUAUGAGUUUACCUGUCCCCGCUUUUGGCGCGCAGGCCCGACGAGGCGGCUGGGCGGUGAGUGCUUCUCGUCUUCCUCAGUGUGCUUUGGCUGCGGGUACCGGUCGUGUCCCCUUUGCUAGCGCGCGAUCAUGGCUAGCAGAGGGAGAGAAUGUAUGUGAUUUUCCCUCUGGACGAUUUGUUAGAUCUGAAUAGUGCGAGAGGGUACAAACGUGGAACAGCUUCGUCGGCGGCAAGGUUCAGCCAAAAAGGACACACUGUAGUGCAAGUUUUGUCUCCUUCCCAACCUAACCAACAACUUCCCGAGCAACUUCAACCACCCCAGAAACAACAACAACAACAACAACUACAACAACAACAACAACACUCCUACCACCAGCUACCGGUACCGCCUUCUCAACAACCAACAUCACCUCAACAGUAUAAGCUAGAACAACAGCAACAACAACAACAACAACAGCAACAACAACAACAACAACAACAACAACAACAACAGCAACAGCAACAACAACAGCAACAGCAGCAGCAACAACAACAACAACAACAGCAACAACAACAGCAACAACUGACUUUACAGAGAACAAACAGUACUUUCCAAAAGACACCGUCCAAAGCGUCCAGUAACAGUCAGUCCUCCCCACACACCAAGUUACCUAGCAGUGUUCCUAAUAGCAGUAGCAAUAGCAGUCACACUAGCUCGCUCAAGCAACAGGCGCACAAGCAACAGCGGCCUCACUUUCACCCCGACGUCGUGGUGAACCAGCGACAGCCUUCCUCGUACUCCACCUCUACGGAGACGUCCUCCCUCUCCUCUACUGGUGCAAAAACCAAAACUCUGUUGCGACCGCCGCAUGCCGAAGCCAAACCCGUUAGUAACCGCUUUUCCUGGGGUGGAAGUCCUUCGGGUCCGGUGCGGGAGACCUCUGUGACGCGAAGCACGAGUUUUAGAAGCCGGGACGAAUUGGGUGUUGACAGAAAUAUAGCCGACCUGUAUAUCGGUGACGGACGGCAGUUCAAUAGUCUGCGAUAUAGAGACGUGCGAGACAGCGACUACCCUCCGGAGACUCGAGGCGGCAGGACUUACCCGAGUUCAAGUCACAGCUUUCGGUCUCAUAUUGUUAAAAGUGGAAGUUUCCGAUCGUUCCUGGACCACGGUGGGCCUCACGGGGGCUACCGGUCUCAUCAGGUGCCCGUUGCGGAAAGUGUAAGGUCUCAGCAUCCUGGUGAGAGUGUUAAAAGCCAGCAGCAUUUGGCUAUUGAAAAUACAAGGUGUCAGCAAAUAACUUCGAGUGAGAGAACACGACCCCACCAUCUGCCCCUCGCGGAGAGCACACAGCCGUUCCAGGAUUUUUCUCCACAGACCCAGGAACCCCGGCGCCCCUCCACUCACAGGCACUCGAGCAGUAGGAGUAGCCACAGCUCGGGGAGUCAAAAAGCCCCCGAGCCUUCCCCUCACAGUAGCUCGGGCAGCGCUACCACACCUGGGGCUCGGGGGAUUAGUCUGAAAAGUUCCGGAGGGUCGGGCAAGUCUCGUGGCCAAAACAAGGGCGUCAUGGCCAGCGAGGUCAGCUUGCGGGAUCUCACACACCCAAGUGCUAACGAAACGCUCAAGCUCCACAGCUCCGUCACCUUCAAACUCGUCAAAACAGUUUCAGAUUUCACUGCCCAGCUCUCCCGCAUCCACGAGCAGCAUGCGGAUGAGAUACAGCGGCUGGUGGAGACGUUCAGGAAGAAGAACUCGGAGCUUCGAAAUGAAAGGCCUUGCACCAGUCAGAUCUUCCACGCCUGGGAAUCGCUACUUCAGGAGGUUGAGAUCGACUCCCAAAUCCACGCCGACGUAGCAGGAACUCUGAACCGACACGUGUCACGACCCCUCAUCGAGAAAACCUUCUUCAGAAAAAUCCAAUCACGCAAGGUUUUCACACACCGGGAAAGCUUCGACACCAUCCUGGCCAAGACGGAGGACAUGUUGAAAAAGUGCCGCCGGGAUUACGCUGAAGCCUACCACAACCACUGCCGGAAUCAGAGCAAUGCCUCCCUCGCCUCCUACUUCGACGCCCACAAUGCUUACGUCCAACAGCUGCACGCGACCAACAGCAUGUUCCAGGAGUACCACAACACCACGCUCCCUGCUCUUCUUCAGGAGCUGGAGGCCGUGUACCUGGACGUAAGCAGUGUUGUGGCGGAAUGUAUACUGCAGGGAGCUGACAUUGUGGCGGCCAAGGCCUUAGAGCAGAGCCGCCGCUAUGACUCUCUGUGUACCAACUGUCGUGCCUGUGACGGACGCACUGAGCUGACCACGCUGAUUCGCCACCUGGACCCAGCCGUGACCAACCCCGUCCGUCCGCCUCACCAUCGCUUCGUCCCGCCUCAGAUCGCGCAGUCCCCGGAGGCCGCCAACGGGGAGCCUCUUCCUCAAGACUACUCUCCACCAAUGCCUCUUAAGAACGAGCUUGUCUUCGACCGUCUGGCGGCGCUGUCCUCCAGGAACCGCUACGACGCCCUCAAGAAGGAGUCCGCCGACCUGGAGAGACAGAUCGCCCAGCUGCAGGACGCCCAGGACACCCUACUUCGGAUGCAACAAAGGAGCCUGGACUCAUCGGCGUACAACAAGGCGAACGAACUUCAAGAGGACAUCAGCAUGAGGCGCUUCGACUUGCAAGUGGCUCAGGUGCAUCUCUCGGCAGUGAAGGCUCAGAAAGAGUUGUUUGCGUCUAAAGAGGGGGGAGGGGCAGAGGGACGAGAGAGAAAAAUGUCUAACUCGAGUGGUGGAAGCAUGAAAACCAAGUGGAUGAAAGCGCUCAAGUCCCUGAAGGCUUCGGACACCUCGAGUGGAAAUCUACCACCUACAUCACCAGCGAAGCGGUACACUUUCUCGAGUACCGUCCUCAGCGUCAUGGCUCACAGCGGACCGCCCGAAGCCUCUCCCUACGACCAGCGCCUCGCCAGGAAAAACGCGAGAGAGAAGGAGAAAGAAGCCGCAGCCAUGUUCGAGACAGCUCACAUCUUCCAGGAAUACACCUACAAGAAGAUCACCGCCUGCGACGUGUGUCACCAGAUCCUGAGAGGUCACUCGCGCCAGGGAAUCAAGUGCCGCAUGUGCAAGACCAACGUACACGUGGAGUGCCAGGACCAGGUGGGCAAGUGCCAGCCUAAAUCGCGGCUCCUCCGUCGUCAGCGCUCCACUUCUGAGAUCGAAUCCAAGCAGAUGGAAGGCGGCGAGGAGGACACGGACCCCAGUAUCUCCUUCAGCUCCCUUAUCGCCAGCCAGCCGGCAAGGCGAGGCGCUGAGCCGCCCUCCUCCACUGCCACUACCGAGAUCCAAAUAGACAAAACAGAGAAGACAGAGGAGGUGGACCUGAUAUACCAGGUACUCAAACAAGCGGGGGACCUGGGAGGGCGGCGCAGCGCUCACGGGUCCAUGGAGCGGGACUUGGGGCGGGACCUUGGGCGUGAUCUAGCGCGUGACGUGGGAGGUUCAGCGGCCUCCUCUGGAUCAGGGAGCGCCACGUCCCUCCACAGACGACUUCCGCGACCCACUAACACCGGCUCCACCCUCACCGUGAACCCCGCCCCCGUGGCCUCCUGCUCAGGGAGAGGAGAUGUAUUUGAAAACAUGGGCUUUUCCGACCUGGGCGUUCCAUACCUCAAUGGUAUCACAACUGCCCCCAUCAGUCCACGUCGCCAGAAACUCAACUUGCGAAUGAAAAGUUUCUCACUUGACUCUCCGGAGUCGACUGAGCACGUACAUCGUCGGCGCCAUGGAGGUUCCUCCCACGUCAGCCACGCCUCCUCUCACAGCCAAUCGCCCUCCAGUCCAGUUCACAACCGCCGUCUCCUCACCGCCCGGAAUAUGCGUAUGAACUCUGUAGAACUGCCUGACGAGAAUGAGAAAUCCCUGAGCUCGGCCAGCACUUCGCCGUGUCCCUCACCUGUUAGUAAAAAGCCUCAUCGCCUCCUGCCUACAAAUCUCUACGUUGUUCUGUACAAUUUCACCUCCAGACAUCCUGAUGAGCUCGACCUAAGAGCUGGAUACAAAGUGACGGUGACCGACACUUCCGACCCUGACUGGUGGCAAGGCAAGUGUCUAGGACGGACCGGCUACUUCCCCUCCAAAUACGUGACGCGACUAAACGGCGGAGAGAAGCCACUCCAGGUCACUCAUAACCUCCAAGUGAAUGACGGAGAAAACGGAAUCAAACUCCUCCGAGACCAGAUUGUGAUCCAGAUAGGCGAGGAGGUGGACGGCAUGGUGAUGAUACGUAACGGGGACAACCAACAAGGUGUCUGUCCCCUCAAAUAUCUGCAAGAGGUCUGAGACUCGGGAACUUGGCAAUUCUCGUGAAGACAGUGACUCUACAGUGUAGCAGAUAGCGAAACAAAACAAAAAAGAUACCGAAAAAAAGAUAAUAGACACAUACAUACAAAUACAUUCACAGCUUUUAAGAAAUUUGAAAUAUGCAUUAAAAAGAAAACCGGAAAUGACGAAAAAAAAUAUCUAUAUAAUGCACGGUGAGAAAAUAAUGACAAAAAAAAAAAGAAGAUACAAGAGGAGACCCUUUUUUUUCUUUAAGGACAAAAUAUAAGUGAAGGACUGAACAGAAAACGAGGGCAAGACUUUUAUAAGUGUGGUAGUGGCGGAAGGGGGGACGCAACACUUUCCCCCCCACUACACUAUCCCCCCUCCCCCCGCCCCCGCCGCCCUCCCUCACCCACCAACCCACCAACCAACCAACCAAACACCCUUCAAGACUCACAUUCAUUCCUGAGCAUUAGUUAUUGUUGUUGUUGCUGCUGUUGUUGUUGUUACUGUUUAGCUCAUUGCACUAAGGUCUUCACUGCACUCUGAAAAUGAAAAUUGUGACAAAAAAAAAGGAUAUUAACUACGAGAGAGAGAAACAGGACUGACUUUGGGUGGUUCUCGUGUACAUGUCUGUUUGAGAGAGAGAAAGACUACGCGUGUCGAGUGUGAAUGUGUGAAUGUAUGCCCAUAUGUCUGUCUGUCUGUCUGUCUUCGUACGUGCGUGUGCAACUAACACUCUCGAAAUUAUGACCUAAAGUAGAGAAGAAUGAGGAAAAAUAAUGAAAAAAAAGGAACAAGAUUUCACAAGUGUCAAAUGAUAUAAGAAAGGAAGCCGCGACCGCGUGGGAACACAAGCAAGACAAAACCAGAAGCACUUGAAGCCACCUCGAGUCAAAGAAGCCUUGAGGAAAACACGACCAGAGGGAAAGAGGGAAAGAAAGAAAAAGGAAACCAAAGACGGAAACCAAGAAGAUAGCAAGCAAGCCAGGCCACUCUUAAAUGGUACUCAUCUGGGGAAAAAAGAAUGAUAUAUAUUUAUACAUAUUAGUUACGAACUCAGAUCGCCGUCUCUUCGAUAAUGCCUUCCCCCAAGAACUAAGCCUUCCUCAGCGAACGCCUUUUCUCCUUUUUCAUAUGUCAUAUUUAGGCAUCACUUUCCCCUUCACUUAGCUUCAUUUCUAAUUUUCACACGCUUUUUGUCUCUGAGCACACUCCCAUCCUGCCUGUUUCUCUUUUGUUUCUCAAGUGGUUCCAUUGCAGCUUGAGUUCAUUCCUCUGGUGAGCGUGUGGCGAAUUUGAUUGAAUGACACGACGAGUUAUUAUUCCUUCUUUUUCACCUGCCUUUGGUAACAUUGUUGUUCCUCACCAACUCCAAAACACAAUCCAUCUGUAGUAAAAAUGUCGCAGAUCUUCUCCAGUGUCUCAUCCCACGGCAUGCCAGAAAGCACCAUAAAACUGCCAGUAAGGAUUCCUUAUCACAGAGACGCUGAGAAAUCAUCUGAGCUUGAAUCUGUAGUUUGGUUAACUUGUUUGACAUUAGCCUAUGUGGACAUUUAUAAAGACUUCUGGAAACUUCUGCGGCUGCCCACGAAAAUGAGCUUAUGUAAAGAUUUUGUAUGUUUCGGCAGUUUUUUCUACAUUUUAUAUAUAUCUGGAGAACAUUUAAACACGGGAUGAUAACCAAGUAAAUUCCUAUUGUUGUGUGGCGGAUCGUACAGCGAUACAGCGCAGCAGUGGUCCAUUCUGAGUACAAGACGAGGAAGGGGCGCUGCAAAAUAUAACUUCCAGUCAAGGAACCCCUAGAAUUAGAAGAAAAAUUAUAAAGGACAUUCAAUUGAUUUUUUGCCAAAAAAUUUUCAAAUUAAUUGUUUAAAAGAUGACUUUCCGAAGUAAAGUUUGGAAUUAUGGCAUUAAAACAGCCAUGGUACUCUAGCAGACGCUGCUCCACUGUCCCUGGCUGCGUGCGGGGCCGCCACAUCACUGCACCGCACCUUUUGUCCCACCCCAGUGCUGCCUCUCCCCUCAAACCUUUCCCUCUUCACCGUCACAAUCCGUAUCGAAUGUUCACUGAUUUGUUCUCGCCUUGCCUUGCUUGAUUUCGAACCGCGUAUCACAGGCCCAAGUUCUCUCCUUCCCCAUUUGGGUGAAUCCCGCUGCCCGCCGCCUUCCUUGCCGCUCCUCGAGUUUGUCUUUAUUUGUCCGCAUUGAUGGCGUCCUUCGCAGGUGUAAAUAUUCCUCGUUACGCAUAAGAUCUUGACAGAUUUUGUACACAUCCUUUGCAGAUGUAUUUUACCAAAGUUAUGCCAUAAACACACACGUACACAUUAUAUGUAGGUUAGUUAGAGGAAUAUAUAUAUAUCGUUCUGCCUUUGGUUCAAUACUAUUAGUGAAGGUCCCAAAACUGUCGAGAUCUUUCGCUGAUAUUUACGAAAAUUGAUUUAGAAUAGACUUUUGAGUGUUUAAUAGAUUUCACAGGGAAACCCUUUAAUUGCUUUGUUUUGUACCCUUUCCUUUGAACAGCAAUCUCCGGUGUACAGUGGGUGUGUAGGGAGGAGCAAGCCUUCCCCAGCGAUGGGAUGUUACUCCCGACCAAAUACUUGUUUCCUCUAUUUCAUAGAGUUGGUGAUACAUCGCUUUUCUUCCUCUUUUUUUUUUUUUUUUUUUUUUUCCUUUUUUUCAUACAAUAAGGAAGGAGUUGGUAGACGCCUUGCUCUCGCUGAACCACGGCGACAAGGAGGGAGCAGCGUGCUGCGCGCCACGCCCUCGUGCCCCUCACCGCUAGCUGGUCGCCUCGUCGCUCUUCAUCGUGAUCGCAUAUUUUGUUUUCUUUUACAAAAUUUUUAUAUUUAAACUCUCGGUACUUUUGACGAUCAUCGUGUACGUUUUAAGAUGUUUUAUUUUAUCUGAAAGAGUCGUGAGCUGCCUUCAGUGUAUAUAUAUAAAUAUAUACCUAUAUAUAUAGUUAGAGAGACAGAGAUAUAUAUAAAGCUAUAUUGAUUACAAAAUAGUAUAAUGAAUGUAUGAUGCCAUGUUUCGUGGAGUCCGCGAGUAGAGAAGGACCUCGGAGCCUGGACGUCGAUUAGGCCGCUCGGAGCCACACAGAAUAUAUUUAUAUUCCGCACUUAGGUGAGACAUGAGCAAAGGAAUGUAGGACAUAUCACUGCGAAAUCAAGGAGACUAAAGGAGGUGGCUGCAGUCACCCUGGCAUUGGUGUUUGGUAGGGCACCGUGGUCUCCCUCCCGACGCAGAUAAUAUGUAGCUGCUAGAUGUAAGCAAUAAUGGGCUACAGAACGGGUAGCUUUACACUGCACAUGAGCGCCAAGGUAUCGUGGUCGAGACCUUGACUCAUGUCCUGUGGCUGUUGAGGCUGUGCCUCGCGCGUUGUUUAAUGACAUGUACAUUUGGCCUCGUUUGAGACACCGCUAUUUUGAUAGUCUAAGACGGGAGUUUGAUCAAGAACAGAACGGAGAGUAUUUUUAUCAAUUACGUACGUACAUACUCCUGGUGUCAUAGGCGAGGUGGUGUGAAGACUGCGCAUGGCAGACGACAGGUGUAAAAACAUUGUGCCGCAUCCUUUCACUCCAUUCACUUGAGCUGCACUCGCUGUUUUGCUACGUGUAUAUAAUAAUGAGAGGAGAAAUUUACUUUUCAAGAAAGGUCAUGUAGACAAAAUUUUGAAGUUGUGACACUGCAACUUGAAGAGGAAAAUUUCAACCCGCACCGCCAUUAGUGUCGUAACGUUCACGUGUAGAAUUUGUUUGUUUGCUCACCUCACAGAAUACACCAUUGUAAAUCACCAUCAUGGAAUUAUUUAUUUUAUCACUCUACAGGAAUUAGUUAGAUGAAUUAUAAAAGUGAGUGAAAAGGAAUAGGUAUUUUCGUAUUUCUAGAUUAUUUUUAUCUCUUCUAUGCUAUGAUCUAGCAAAGGGAGCGAUCUCUCUGCCCCGGCAGUGAUCAGUCCCGCAAAGUAAUCUAAUCGAGGGCUUUGUCGGGCCCGCGUGAGUGCUGCCAUGCAGUCACUAACCUGGAUUGUGUUUGAUACACCACCCACCCUCUCCCUUCCUUUCACGUUUUUUUCCCUUUAGAGGUUAAGUAUUUUUUCCCAGUGUUGAUUUCUACCCUUGUUGUCCCGUCCUUUCACUCACUCUCCAUUUCCGUGCGCUGAUCCAUUCCCUGCACCAGUGUUGGCAGCGUCCCACGCUCACUGAGUUGUGUCCCUCACAAUGUGACGGGUGUCCGCCUUAGAAGGGCUCCCUCGCAAACAUUCAAGCGCACCCACACUCACGCACGCACACACACACACACACACACACACACACACACACACACACACACACACACACACACACACACACACACACACACACACACACACACACA